This 406-nucleotide unclassified non-coding RNA is filed under the name Hevea brasiliensis (rubber tree). Lineage: Eukaryota; Viridiplantae; Streptophyta; Magnoliopsida; Malpighiales; Euphorbiaceae. The record is from RNAcentral.
CGCCCAGCAAACGGAGCCGAAGGAUGCAAUGACGGCGAAGGCGACGAACGACGCCGUCGCAUUUAUCCGCAGCCUGGCCGAGCUGCGAGGNUUGGCCCGAGAAAGCGGUCCGCGAGGCAGCCAGUCUUUCCGCAAGCGCCGCGUUGCAAGCGAAUGUCAUCGAUCUCAUCGCGCGCGAUCCGGCCGAACUGCUCAAACAAAUCGAUGGCCGCGUCGUGGAAUUGCCCGGUGGCGACAGACGGCAUCUGGCGACGAAGGAUGCGACGAUCGAGACGAUCGACCCCGGAUGGAUCUCGCCAUUUCUGUCGAUUAUCACCAACCCCAACGUCGCCUUCAUUCUUCUGCUGGUUGGCAUCUACGGUCUGAUUUUUGAAUUCAUGUCUCCUGGCGCCGUCGCGCCCGGCGU